AGUCUGGUGCCAGCAGCCGCGGUAAUUCCAGCUCCAAUAGCGUAUAUUAAAGUUGUUGCGGUUAAAAAGCUCGUAGUCGGAUCUGUGUCUUCGCGGCGUUGAACCACUGAGUGUCUGCUAGACUCUGUCUGCAGACCAAGUGUUAGUUAUCAGCGUGUCAGCGAGACGUCCUGCCGGUAGGCGGACACGCGCUCGGUCUGCUCUUCAAUGAGCGCGAGUGGCGGCCGCCGUUCAAUCCUCAUUGUGCGCGUCGCAUUCGUGCUGGCGCGUACAACGGGCCGGCACGUUUACUUUGAACAAAUUAGAGUGCUCAAAGCAGGCUCAAACGUGGCCGGGUGCGCGCAAGCGUGCUCGGUCGUAUAGCCCUGAAUAUGGUCGCAUGGAAUAAUGGAACAAGACCUCGGUCUCGCCUCUACGCUGCUUGCAGCGCGUGAACUAGCCCUCGCGGCUGUUCCGUGCGCAGGUCGCCGUCUGAAGUCACGCGUUCGCGUCCGCCUCGCGCGGGUUACGCAACGUCGUGGUAUACUUCUUACGUUGGCCGGUUUUCGAGAUCAGAGGUAAUGAUCAACAGAGAUAGGCGUGGGCAUUCGUACCGCGACGUUAGAGGUGAAAUUCUUGGAUCGUCGCGUGACGAACCGAAGCGAAAGCAUUUGCCAAGUAUAUUCUCGUCUGAUCAAGAACGAAAGUUAGAGGUUCGAAGGCGAUCAGAUACCGCCCUAGUUCUAACCGUAAACGAUGCCAGCUAGCGAUCCGCUGAUGUUCCUCCGAUGACUCAGCGGGCAGCUUCCGGGAAACCGAAGCUUUUCGGUUCCGGGGGAAGUAUGGUUGCAAAGCUGAAACUUAAAGGAAUUGACGGAAGGGCACCACCAGGAGUGGAGCCUGCGGCUUAAUUUGACUCAACACGGGAAACCUCACCAGGCCCGGACACCGGAAAGAUUGACAGAUUGAGAGCUCUUUCUUGAUUCGGUGGGUGGUGGUGCAUGGCCGUUCUUAGUUGGUGGAGCGAUCUGUCUGGUUAAUUCCGAUAACGAACGAGACUCUGUCCUGCUAAAUAGGCGGGUUUUCUGUCGCCUGCCGCGCCGGUGUGCGGUUCCGCCGUGUGCCGGUCGGCAGUCAACGACGGAACGAUAUCCUCGAAAGCGGUUUGCUGGCGUAAGUGGCGUCGGUGCUGUUGUGGUCGCUCGUUUCGGCGGGCGGCCGCAGCCAGUGCCGGCGUUACCCGACAGUGUGACCGCCAAUGGGCUAUCGCCGGCUGAUAAAGCUUAAACUCUUCUUAGAGGGACAGGCGGCGGACAAAACUAGCCGCACGAGACUGAGCGAUAACAGGUCUGUGAUGCCCUUAGAUGUUCUGGGCCGCACGCGCGCUACACUGAAGGAAUCAGCGUGUACCUUUAUCCUGGGCUGAGAAGCAUUACCAGGUAAUCCGCUGAACCUCCUUCGUGAUAGGGAUCGGGGCUUGCAAUUGUUCCCCGUGAACGAGGAAUUCCCAGUAAGCGCGAGUCAUCAGCUCGCGUUGAUUACGUCCCUGCCCUUUGUACACACCGCCCGUCGCUACUACCGAUUGAACGACCGCAGUGAGGUCUUCGGAUCGAGGUACGGCGACGUUCGCGUCGAUUUGUACAUUCGAGAAGAUGACCGAACUCGGCCGUUUAGAGGAAGUAAAAGUCGUAACAAGGUUUCCGUAGGUGAACCUGCGGAAG
RNAcentral lists this ribosomal RNA (1700 nucleotides) under Paracoccus marginatus. RNAcentral's name for it is "SSU rRNA". It matches the Rfam family "Eukaryotic small subunit ribosomal RNA", at positions 558 to 1823 of the family's 1831-position model. Lineage: Eukaryota; Metazoa; Arthropoda; Insecta; Hemiptera; Pseudococcidae. The record is from RNAcentral.